UACGUAGGGACCAAGCGUUGUCCGGAAUCAUUGGGCGUAAAGAGCGUGUAGGCGGCUUGUUAAGUCUUGCGUGAAAUCUCGGGGCUCAACCCCGAGCGGUCGUGAGAAACUGGCAGGCUAGAGUGCGGGAGAGGAGAGUGGAAUUCCUGGUGUAGCGGUGAAAUGCGCAGAUAUCAGGAGGAACACCUGUGGCGAAGGCGGCUCGCUGGGCCGGUCCUGACGCUGAGACGCGAAGGCGUGGGGAGCGAACGGG
RNAcentral lists this ribosomal RNA (253 nucleotides) under uncultured bacterium. Its description in RNAcentral is "partial 16S ribosomal RNA". It matches the Rfam family "Bacterial small subunit ribosomal RNA", at positions 524 to 776 of the family's 1533-position model. The record is from RNAcentral.